CCCAAAAGAAGGGCUGUCUUCUGG
This 24-nucleotide non-coding RNA is filed under the name Cricetulus griseus (Chinese hamster). Lineage: Eukaryota; Metazoa; Chordata; Mammalia; Rodentia; Cricetidae. The record is from RNAcentral.